Cygnus olor (mute swan) is the source of this 3148-nucleotide long non-coding RNA. RefSeq lists it as uncharacterized. The transcript is spliced from 3 exons. NCBI's taxonomy places the organism in Eukaryota, Metazoa, Chordata, Aves, Anseriformes, Anatidae. The record is from RefSeq and is a predicted model, not a curated record.
AAGCUAAACGUGCUGAGAAAUAGUUUGGUGCCACUGGCUGCAAUUAUGGAAAACACAACGAACGGCAGAGAUUCAUUCUAGAGACAGUGGAAGAUCCCAGUACUUUAUUACCAUUAUUAGCAGAUGGAGCUAAUUAUUAUUACCAUUAACGCGGAUGGAGCGCGCCGCAGAGGCACGGGGAGCAGCAGCAGCCGAACCCUGGCAGGGCUAACGGGCAGGCACCGGGGGCAGCAGGACGAAAAGGACAGCAGGGCUGCUCAGAAGCACGCCGGCACCCUCCGGGAGGUCGUCUCGUGGCAGCAGGAGGCGGCCCGGUACCACAGGCCAGAGGCGCCGCCAUGUGCCCUCCUGCCCGCUCCCAGCCACAGGUGAGCGCAAACUCUCACCCAUCUCCAUGGUGAGCUGCUUCGUGGAGCAAGGCCAGCUGGAAACGUAUUUUUGGAAGGUUGUGUUGCAGCCAGUUUAGCUUCCUGAGCUGCCUCCCUGCUGGCCCGGUGACAGGGCUGGCGAAACAGAGAGGAGGCAGGAAUGUGCGGGGAGAGCAAGACUAUUGCUGGCUGCUCUCGGAGCUCAGCUGGAGCGUCACGCCGAAUCCCAGCUUCGUUAGCACAAUCUGACCACAGAUAAAGUGCCUUUCGUCCCUCCUCCUGCUAAAGUGUACCUCAUCUCUGAUAAAUGUAAGUGAAAUACAUUUACUGCUACACAAGCAAAAAAAUAGUAAGAAAACCACUUACACGCCUACAUUUCCACUGUCUUAGGCUGUGCUUCUUAGAAAUGCUCCUCGAGUUAGCCAUCGCUCCCAUACAUCACUAUUUCACUGAUAGCUGGCCUGGGUUAAAAAUGAUCGUUUUCCUUGCUGGGCUAUUCUUAAUCUGCACCAGCUUCCCGAUCAGGUUGGCCACGUGAGCACACAAGCAGAAGACAGGGGGUGGCACUGCUUAUCCCAACAGCACCCCAAGGCUUUGAAACACUCCUGAAACUACACCCACAGAUACACCUUUGUAGUUACCCUACUCUGUGUUGCGCUUAAAUAAGCGAUCAUACCUUGCUCUCAGUGUGAAGUCAGGGGAACAGAGAUGAACUCGGAUCGAGGCAGUCUGUUAACGGGCAACAUGAAUAAAGUCACGGUUCUGACCCAUCUGUGGGACUCGGUUGAAUUUUAAAGCAGCCACAACAAGGAAAACGGAUACCCUCCCGAUACGACAAUAUUCUGUAAGAUGACAGGUAACUUUAUUUACUGAAUUUAAACAGCCAAUUUGCUGCUUCAGGGGAUUCCAAGUCCAUCCAAAGCAUGAUAUAAAAACCAAUUAUUCAUAGAUUUUUACAUCUACGGCACCAUGAUUGUGUGGGUGAAACCUUGGGUCUCUAACAAAGUAGCACAGUUGUUUAAAAAAAAAAAAACACGGCAUGUAAAAUAUUUUGGCAUGAAAACAUUUAAAUAAAAAGCCCACAAAGCCUGCUGGCACUUACUUUGACAAGAAUGGAAAUAAAAAUAACUCACUCAAUUCUAGGAACUAGAUUUGUAUUUUAACUUUAAUUUCUAAGAUUCAAUAUCAUAAACUAGUCUUCCACUACAGAUGAAUGGAAGCAAAACUGAUUCAAACAGAUAUUUAAUUGACUUCUAGACUCCCUUCCAGAAUUGCUUACUCCCUUCUAGAGUUACUCUCUAGGUGAAAACUCAAAGCAGUAAAACAUCUAUACAAAGAUUUGCCUUGUAAUAUUUCUCUGCUCCAGCAUCUUAACAAAUAUUUCUUUUAACUAAGGAAAAAUAAUUUGUUACUGUUGUUGAUAUUCAAACUCCUGUGAAGUACGUAAAGAAUCUUCUCACUCCUUACAACACAUUGCAACUGCUCAGGAAAGCCCUGGGAACAAUAUGCAAACAAACCAGCAAAACCCCAAGCCAGUUUUUUUGGUGCAUUUUGUUGGCUUUCCGUAGGCAAGGUAUGGGGGCAGAGUUUCCAACAUGCUAUUGAGAGCAGAGAAAUACAUUUGCCUAUCUUUUUGAAAUAAAAACAAUUUCUCUUAAGAAAAGUUCACAGGGUAACAGUUCUGGAGGCAAAUCCAGAUCUGUCACAUACCCAGAAGACGACUACACGUCCUCAAAGAUCAGCUUUCAAAGGUAGCGGGCUAAAACAAUAUAAAAAAUUAAUAAUUUAACUAUAUAGAAAAGAACUAGCCAGUUUGGGUAAAAAUGUAAAACUCAGCUAGAGAGACUGACAGCUGACAGCCUCUCACCAGCAGCCUGGUGCAAGCUCAGGAGUGAUGCUUUACUCACCAUCUCCAGCUGACAGGUACAGAAAUCCAAUGCUUGACAUGCUAGGAAAAAAGGUUUUUUACGUAAUACUUUCUCAGCACACCAGAAUUCCAAAACCAGCUCAGCUGAAACAGCGUUUUCCACAGAGAGGAUUUGUUUUUACUGGUUUUAACAAAAUGCAGCAGGUUAAAAGGUAUUUCUGAGGAACUAUUGCAUAUGUAUUGUACUAGCUGAACACUGCCACCUGAGACCCCUGCACGUUGUUAUAUUUUGUGGAGAAACACGGUAAUGACUGCUGAGGUGCUCUCCUGUGUUCAGAAGAGAUGUGGGACACUGCCAGAUCCCCGAGCUGUCCUAUCCUUAGCAGGAAAAAAGAGCAAUAUGAAUGGCAGAACAGAUGUUGUAACAUGUGAUUAACAUCACAAGCUUGUCCAGUGAUCCUGCGCAAACCAUGGGGUUUCUGUUGUCUUCAAGCAACAGGGACAGACGGGACAUUUCUGGGGAGAACAGAGGAACAAAAUUCCUGUGAAAUUCUGCAUCCAAGACCACCCCUUAGUAAACCUACAAGUCAGCAUCAAGAAUUCAAGUUUUGCAUAAUAAUCACUCCAUCAUUCUGAACUUAACAGUGAGAAGAAAUUGCACAGGUAAUUUUGCAUCUUAUACUACUCUGCACAUCAAGGCAACAGUACCAAUGCGGGCAGACAGAACAGGAGCAGGUUGAAAAUUACCAAAAGCACAUCUGUUUUACCAGUAGCAACAAAUAUCUAUACUGAAAAGGAGCAAAAAGGUUAAAGGAGGUGUUUCUUCUUCUACUACAAGCAAAUACUCAUGUUGAUAAGGGUCACGUUUUAUAUCAAAGAUUUUAAUGUUACAGGCAGACAUUUUUCAAAAGAA